RNAcentral lists this ribosomal RNA (537 nucleotides) under cf. Trichoderma sp. 5/HC1. Its description in RNAcentral is "eukaryotic LSU rRNA". The stretch from base 158 to 311 matches the Rfam family "5.8S ribosomal RNA". Lineage: Eukaryota; Fungi; Ascomycota; Sordariomycetes; Hypocreales; Hypocreaceae. The record is from RNAcentral.
GAACCAUACCAAACUGUUGCCUCGGCGGGGUCACGCCCCGGGUGCGUCGCAGCCCCGGAACCAGGCGCCCGCCGGAGGGACCAACCAAACUCUUUUCUGUAGUCCCCUCGCGGACGUUAUUUCUUACAGCUCUGAGCAAAAAUUCAAAAUGAAUCAAAACUUUCAACAACGGAUCUCUUGGUUCUGGCAUCGAUGAAGAACGCAGCGAAAUGCGAUAAGUAAUGUGAAUUGCAGAAUUCAGUGAAUCAUCGAAUCUUUGAACGCACAUUGCGCCCGCCAGUAUUCUGGCGGGCAUGCCUGUCCGAGCGUCAUUUCAACCCUCGAACCCCUCCGGGGGGUCGGCGUUGGGGAUCGGGAACCCCUAAGACGGGAUCCCGGCCCCGAAAUACAGUGGCGGUCUCGCCGCAGCCUCUCCUGCGCAGUAGUUUGCACAACUCGCACCGGGAGCGCGGCGCGUCCACGUCCGUAAAACACCCAACUUCUGAAAUGUUGACCUCGGAUCAGGUAGGAAUACCCGCUGAACUUAGCAUAUCAAUA